UCAUCGAAGAAGAGAUUGGAGGGCGCCAGAUAAAGUUUGAAACUGGAUUAAAACGAAACCUGCUCAUAGUUGAUGCCGCAAGAAGGGGGCAAGCAAAAAUUAAAAUCAUUUAUGGUACAUGAAAAA
Molecule: non-coding RNA, 126 nt
Filed under: Thalassiosira minuscula
Lineage: Eukaryota; Bacillariophyta; Thalassiosirophyceae; Thalassiosirales; Thalassiosiraceae
Source: RNAcentral